CAAUAGCGUAUACUAAAGUUGUUGCAGUUAAAAGCUCGUAGUUGAAUUUCUGAUUGCGAAAGGUGGUCCGUUGCGCAAGCAAUGCGUACUGUCCAUUUGUGGUCAUCCUCGGAGUUGUUGUGUAUGGUCUUUAUUGGUCGUGCAUGACAUUCCGUCAUUUACUGUGAGCAAAAUAGAGUGUUCAAAGCAGGCUUAUGCCGUUGAAUAUAUUAGCAUGGAAUAAUAAAAUAUGACUUUGGUCUAUUUUGUUGGUUAUUACUCCAAAGUAAUGAUUAAUAGGGAUAGUUGGGGUGAUUCUGUAUUCCGAUUCGUCGUAGAGGUGAAAAUUCUUGGAUUUUCGGAAGACGAACUACUGCGAAAGCAUUUACCAAGGAUGUUUUCAUUAAUCAAGAACGAAAGUUAGGGGAUCGAAGAUGAUUAGAUACCA
Molecule: ribosomal RNA, 427 nt
Filed under: uncultured eukaryote
Lineage: Eukaryota
Description: bacterial SSU rRNA
Rfam family: Eukaryotic small subunit ribosomal RNA
Source: RNAcentral